RNAcentral lists this ribosomal RNA (1372 nucleotides) under uncultured bacterium. RNAcentral's name for it is "bacterial SSU rRNA". It matches the Rfam family "Bacterial small subunit ribosomal RNA", at positions 28 to 1381 of the family's 1533-position model. The record is from RNAcentral.
GAUGAACGCUGGCGGCGUGCCUAAUACAUGCAAGUCGAGCGAACGGACGAGAAGCUUGCUUCUCUGAUGUUAGCGGCGGACGGGUGAGUAACACGUGGAUAACCUACCUAUAAGACUGGGAUAACUUCGGGAAACCGGAGCUAAUACCGGAUAAUAUUUUGAACCGCAUGGUUCAAAAGUGAAAGACGGUCUUGCUGUCACUUAUAGAUGGAUCCGCGCUGCAUUAGCUAGUUGGUAAGGUAACGGCUUACCAAGGCAACGAUGCAUAGCCGACCUGAGAGGGUGAUCGGCCACACUGGAACUGAGACACGGUCCAGACUCCUACGGGAGGCAGCAGUAGGGAAUCUUCCGCAAUGGGCGAAAGCCUGACGGAGCAACGCCGCGUGAGUGAUGAAGGUCUUCGGAUCGUAAAACUCUGUUAUUAGGGAAGAACAUAUGUGUAAGUAACUGUGCACAUCUUGACGGUACCUAAUCAGAAAGCCACGGCUAACUACGUGCCAGCAGCCGCGGUAAUACGUAGGUGGCAAGCGUUACCCGGAAUUAUUGGGCGUAAAGCGCGCGUAGGCGGUUUUUUAAGUCUGAUGUGAAAGCCCACGGCUCAACCGUGGAGGGUCAUUGGAAACUGGAAAACUUGAGUGCAGAAGAGGAAAGUGGAAUUCCAUGUGUAGCGGUGAAAUGCGCAGAGAUAUGGAGGAACACCAGUGGCGAAGGCGACUUUCUGGUCUGUAACUGACGCUGAUGUGCGAAAGCGUGGGGAUCAAACAGGAUUAGAUACCCUGGUAGUCCACGCCGUAAACGAUGAGUGCUAAGUGUUAGGGGGUUUCCGCCCCUUAGUGCUGCAGCUAACGCAUUAAGCACUCCGCCUGGGGAGUACGACCGCAAGGUUGAAACUCAAAGGAAUUGACGGGGACCCGCACAAGCGGUGGAGCAUGUGGUUUAAUUCGAAGCAACGCGAAGAACCUUACCAAAUCUUGACAUCCUUUGACAACUCUAGAGAUAGAGCUUUCCCCUUCGGGGGACAAAGUGACAGGUGGUGCAUGGUUGUCGUCAGCUCGUGUCGUGAGAUGUUGGGUUAAGUCCCGCAACGAGCGCAACCCUUAAGCUUAGUUGCCAUCAUUAAGUUGGGCACUCUAAGUUGACUGCCGGUGACAAACCGGAGGAAGGUGGGGAUGACGUCAAAUCAUCAUGCCCCUUAUGAUUUGGGCUACACACGUGCUACAAUGGACAAUACAAAGGGCAGCGAAACCGUGAGGUCAAGCAAAUCCCAUAAAGUUGUUCUCAGUUCGGAUUGUAGUCUGCAACUCGACUACAUGAAGCUGGAAUCGCUAGUAAUCGUAGAUCAGCAUGCUACGGUGAAUACGUUCCCGGGUCU